This 568-nucleotide ribosomal RNA is filed under the name uncultured bacterium. RNAcentral's name for it is "partial 16S ribosomal RNA". It matches the Rfam family "Bacterial small subunit ribosomal RNA", at positions 355 to 914 of the family's 1533-position model. The record is from RNAcentral.
UGGGGAAUAUUGCACAAUGGGCGCAAGCCUGAUGCAGCCAUGCCGCGUGUGUGAAGAAGGCCUUCGGGUUGUAAAGCACUUUCAGCGAGGAGGAAGGUGGUGAACUUAAUACGUCAUCAAUUGACGUUACUCGCAGAAGAAGCACCGGCUAACUCCGUGCCAGCAGCCGCGGUAAUACGGAGGGUGCAAGCGUUAAUCGGAAUUACUGGGCGUAAAGCGCACGCAGGCGGUUUGUUAAGUCAGAUGUGAAAUCCCCGGGCUCAACCUGGGAACUGCAUUUGAAACUGGCAAGCUAGAGUCUCGUAGAGGGGGGUAGAAUUCCAGGUGUAGCGGUGAAAUGCGUAGAGAUCUGGAGGAAUACCGGUGGCGAAGGCGGCCCCCUGGACGAAGACUGACGCUCAGGUGCGAAAGCGUGGGGCAGCAAACAGGAUUAGAUACCCUGGUAGUCCACGCUGUAAAACGAUGUCGAUUUGGAGGUUGUGCCCUUGAGGCGUGGCUUCCGGAGCUAACGCGUUAAAUCGACCGCCUGGGGAGUACGGCCGCAAGGUUAAAACUCAAAUGAAUUGAC